RNAcentral lists this long non-coding RNA (380 nucleotides) under Triticum aestivum (bread wheat). RNAcentral describes it as "long non-coding RNA (TAES_LNC021955)". The record is from RNAcentral. Lineage: Eukaryota; Viridiplantae; Streptophyta; Magnoliopsida; Poales; Poaceae.
UUGGGCUCGGGCUUUGGUUCAGGUUUUGGCAUAGGCUCGGGCUUGGGCUCUGGCUUUGGUUCAGGUUUUGGCAUAGGCUCGGGCUUGGGCUCAGGCUUAGGCUCAGGUUUGGGCAUCGGGUAAGGCUUGGGCUCAGGUUUUGGUUCGGGCUUUGGCAUCGGCUCCGGCUUCGGUUCCGGUUUGGGCUCUGGCUUUGGCAUGGGCUCAGGUUUGGGCAUAGGCUUAGGCUCUGGCUUUGGCAUGGGUUCAGGCUUAGGCUCUGGCUUUGGCAUGGGUUCAGGCUUAGGCAUUGGCUCUGGCUUGGGUUCCGGCUUGGGCUCCGGGUACGGCGUCGGCUUGGGCUCCGGCUCCGGGAGCUUCUCAGCGAGGCCACGGCCAGC